This 447-nucleotide ribosomal RNA is filed under the name Triticum aestivum (bread wheat). RNAcentral describes it as "partial small subunit ribosomal RNA". Lineage: Eukaryota; Viridiplantae; Streptophyta; Magnoliopsida; Poales; Poaceae. The record is from RNAcentral.
AUGUGCUCCUUCUGUAAUGAAGUCGAGACAGCAAAUCAUUUGUUCUUUACCUGUUCGCUUGCUCGGUCGGUUUGGGGGGUGUUGGGCAUGACGGCCGGGGUUUCAUGUUGCCCUCGCUCUCUGUGGCAAAGCUUAACUUGGCUUUAUAAGUUCUUUCCGGAUGGGAAACAGUUUUACAUGAUGAUUAUUGCUGCAAUAUGCUGGGGGAUUUGGACCCUCCGCAAUAAAGUCACAUUUGAUAAUCAUAUUGUUCGUUCUCCUCUUGAGGCUGUUUUCACUGCAUGCUCGUUUUUGCUGUACUGGGCAGGUUUGCUAAAGGAAGAAGAAAGGGCGAAGCUCCAGGCUGGAGUGAAGAGGUUGGCUCACGCGGCUGCUGCGCUGGCGGACAGGUCCCUCCCUCGAGGCAGAUCCCUUUUGGGUGACAGAGAAGGGAUCCAGAUUGGUUAG